Molecule: ribosomal RNA, 303 nt
Filed under: uncultured bacterium
Lineage: Bacteria
Description: partial 16S ribosomal RNA
Rfam family: Bacterial small subunit ribosomal RNA
Source: RNAcentral
AGCAGUAGCCGCGGGAAUACGUAGGUGGCAAGCGUUGUCCGGAAUUAUUGGGCGUAAAGGGCUCGCAGGCGGUUUCUUAAGUCUGAUGUGAAAGCCCCCGGCUCAACCGGGGAGGGUCAUUGGAAACUGGGAAACUUGAGUGCAGAAGAGGAGAGUGGAAUUCCACGUGUAGCGGUGAAAUGCGUAGAGAUGUGGAGGAACACCAGUGGCGAAGGCGACUCUCUGGUCUGUAACUGACGCUGAGGAGCGAAAGCGUGGGGAGCGAACAGGAUUAGAUACCCCCGUAGUCCCUGUCUCUUAUAA